AAAUGACUCUCGGCAACGGAUAUCCCGGCUCUCGCAUCGAUGAAGAACGUAGCGAAAUGCGAUACUUGGUGUGAAUUGCAGAAUCCCGUGAACCAUCGAGUCUUUGAACGCAAGUUGUGCCUGAAGCCACUAGGCCGAGGGCACGUCUGCCUGGGUGUCACGC
RNAcentral lists this ribosomal RNA (163 nucleotides) under Gingidia algens. RNAcentral describes it as "5.8S ribosomal RNA". It matches the Rfam family "5.8S ribosomal RNA". From Rfam's summary of the family: 5.8S ribosomal RNA (5.8S rRNA) is a component of the large subunit of the eukaryotic ribosome. The record is from RNAcentral. Lineage: Eukaryota; Viridiplantae; Streptophyta; Magnoliopsida; Apiales; Apiaceae.